GGUUGAUCCUGCCAGCAAUCAUAUGCUUGUCUCAAAGAUUAAGCCAUGCAUGUCUAAGUAUAAGCGUUAUACGGCAAAACUGCGGAUGGCUCAUUAUAUCAGUUUUAAUCUACUUGUUAAUGUUCUUUUAUAUGGAUAACUGUAGGAAUUCUAGAGCUAAUACAUGAAAAAGAUCUGGACUGGGGGCAACCUUAGGAAGGACGUCUUUAUUUAUCGAAACCAUGGGCUUCGGCCCGUUACUAUGACAUAUAAUAAACAAACGAAUCGAGGGCUUAUGCCAACGAUGAUACAAA
Molecule: ribosomal RNA, 293 nt
Filed under: uncultured eukaryote
Lineage: Eukaryota
Description: partial 18S ribosomal RNA
Rfam family: Eukaryotic small subunit ribosomal RNA
Source: RNAcentral